Long non-coding RNA from Pistacia vera, 2947 nucleotides. RefSeq lists it as uncharacterized. The record is from RefSeq and is a predicted model, not a curated record. The transcript has 14 exons. Lineage: Eukaryota; Viridiplantae; Streptophyta; Magnoliopsida; Sapindales; Anacardiaceae.
UCUUAUAAUAUUGAUUAAACCCAACUAAACUUCAUUCUUCUCUUCUGUGUUCAAUCGUCAUUCUUCGUCUUUAAUAUUCUAAUCUUCGCUUUGUUUUUUCGAUCGUCUUCAAUAUUCAAGAAUAUUUGGUGAUGGGUGUUGAUAUCGUCAUUUUGCCCUUUUUCUGGGUUUGGUUUAGUGGGUUCUGGUGCGGGGAGCUAAGAGAUAGACUUGUGGAACCCGAGUAUUUGGAGAUGGAGGAGAGAGUUCUAAGCCGUUGAAGGUUACGUUGAGUGGGCUCGCCAAGCAUUGGACGACCUAUGCGAUUCCGAUUGAUAAUGGAGGACUUGGAGCCAUGGUGUGGGGUGAUGUUGCUUCAGAGACUCUUCAACUUAAUGGUUGAAAUCGCUUUUCACUCUAUGUUGGUGACAGAAAGCCUGGGAAACUAUGGCAUUGGGAAGUAAUUUCAGCUUUCCCAUCUCUCUUGACAGAUAAUGAAAGAAGAAUUUGACUGAUGACCCUGGUGCCUAGGCUGUUGAUUAAACCUUUGUGUUAUAUAUCCAUAUAAGUCAUUGCAGAUGGUGGUUGUUAAACUUUCUCAGUUAGAUCCUGGCAUCUUGAGAUGAUCUGUUCUUGAUAGGAGUAACAGAGAUCUUUAAUUAAAAUCAGAUCACAGCUCUCACUACUUCAGCUAUUGUGCUGCAAUCGGAGGCUCUAGAUUACUUUUGGAGAUCCCAUUGCAACGUUGUUGAAAUCGUCAGUUCUUGUAAAUCUUGGGCACCUAUAAAUGCGAUAAAAAAGGAGAGUUUCUAAAGCAUCUUAGCCGCAAGUUUCACAUAAGUUUGAUGAACAAAUACUGGCUUUGUUACAUAUAGUUGUGGAUGAUUUCCAAACCAUUUUUAGACUUCUCAAACGCUGCAGCCACAACAAAAUACAGUCCAAUGGACGAAUGAAGCCAAAAUAAUACACAUAUGCUAGCAACAUGGUAUCCAAAUAAGUCAUGAGAUGUUUGGUGUUUCUUAUUUUGCCUCAUCUUGUCUACAGGCUGCUUGUUUAUAUUGUAUGCAUGCUAUUGAAGAUGGCCUUCCAGCAUUAUGAGCAGCAAAAUGACCAGAAUCAGGGGAAACGGCUGCAUGUUCUCAUACGAAAGAGAGUUUUGGUAGAGUUACGGAUGCCUUUUGUAUGGAAGUCGUUUUGAGCAAUGACAAGAAUCAGGAAAAAUGCGCUUUUUCUUACAUGAAGAGGAGUUUGGGCAGAAUCACUGAUGAUUUAUGUGGAGAAGUAGUGAGUUUCUCAGAUGAGUUUUGAUAUCUUUUGCUCCGGCAAUGCGUCAAAAUCAGAUCGCAGCUUUAGAUGAUUUGGCCAUUAUUUUGCACCCAACGGCUCCACAAUAAAUUCAGAUCAUAGUCCAAAGUUGUUGACAUCAUCAGUUCUGAUACUGCUUUUGCUGUGAUUUAACUGUUGUAUAUAACUGUAAAAUUGUUCUUCUAAGUUUCAUUAAUCUGAUAUUUCCUUUCAUUACUUUGAAGAAACUGCAGACUUCUUAAUUAUUGUGGAAUAGUUAAAAUCCAGUUUAUUAAAGGGAUGAUGCCAAAGCAGAACAGGGAGAAAAUGAUAUUCUUGUUUGCCUAAUUCAUCAUAAAUCAGUUGACUGAAUAAAUUUGCCUCUCAGAAAAUCAUGCUCGCCUUUUCGGUCGUUUAUGUGAAUCACAGUCAAAAUAGUUGGGAAUUUAAAUGCUUAGGACUAUGACAAGAAACGAGAAUGUAUGAAGGUGGGAGAAGUGAUGAAGCAAAAUACUUGCUCUUGAGCGAUGGACAGAUGCCUUGUUUAGAAAUCACAUGAACACGGAAUAGUUUGGCAGACAUUGGACUCGAGGAGCAAGGAUGAAAUAGGAGAACCAAAAAGUUAGGAGACGUGAUUAAAGGAAAAAGUUAGAUAUCAAAUUCUUUUUUGAAGAAAUGAUGUUCAUACAGACUAUGAAAUGAGGUAUCUUUUGAGUUCUGAAAGUGAUUCUUAGUGUCAGGCAUCAAGGUGUCACAACACUCCAAUAGGACCCAUAAUUUUCUGUGGUUUUCUUGAGCAGUAGUGAUGCAUGAUACAAGCUCAGUAGUCGAAAGAAUGUGUUCCUUCUUCCUGUUCUUUUUUGCACGAUGCGACAUUAAAGAAUGCUUAAUCACCAUACAAACUUGGAGGGGCAGCAGGCGGAAGUGAUUAUGAUCCUGAAGGAAAAAGUGAUUAUGAGAUCAUGCGCUUUUGCCAAAGUUUCAUAAAUGAGAUCUAUAUAUAUCUGGGUCCUGACAAGGAUCUUCCAUCAGAAGAGAUGUGUGUUUGCACCCGAGAGAUGGAGUAUCUCUUUGGGCAAUAUAGACGUCUUGCUGGUCAUUUUCAGGUUUGAAUAUGCCAUCUAUCCCUAUGGCGGUUAAUAUUCUGACAAAAGCUAAUGUUCUUAUUGCUCCUGCCAUGGCUGCUGAUGCUGGAAGGUGAUUUGUGACAUGAUAGGGUUCUUUUGGACAUGCUUAGUUGUCACCAAAUAGAGUCUCUACACCACAGUUUCAUUGAUUGUCAGGAUGCCAUGCUUAAGAACACAUUUUUGUUUUAGAAUGCGGCUAACUAUAGAUGUGAAUGAAAGUAGAUACAUUCCAAAACCAUUAAUUAGUAAGGCUAACUAUGGAUGAAUCUAUGCAGAAUUAUUACAAAUUAUUCGUAAAUGCUCUAAAUUAUUGUGUAUGCUACUAUGUAGCCAUAUAAGAAUAGGCCGCACAUCAACCCACUUACUUAUAUAACUUUAUCCAAGCGGGUUGAAUAUGUUCUUGAACUCUUUCCACAUAUUUUUGAGUUGAAGGUGGGGCAUAUUAGCCGUGGCUGCUUGACUGCCUUACAUUCGUCCAUUUCAAUUUUGGUUUUGUCAAAUUUUUUCAUUAACUUUGUCUGAUAUGUAUUUAUUUAUUAAGUUGUUGACCAACUUGG